AGCUCACCUAUCCGCGCCCAGGUAACCGAAGAGGUGUCCGCGCGGCCGCGUUCCAGGACACCUCGCCCGGGCAGAACGAAUGCCCGAGACCUGGGACCACGGGGGCGCCCCUCCCGUGCAUUUGUUCUCGCUCCCUCCUUCCCUCUAGGGUGUUCUGCACCCCUUCCUCCGAAGACCAACGGGACCGCCCUCACCCCCAGCGCCUUACCUCAAACAGGGGGCCGAUCUUGUUCUUCUCCAGGAUGAGAAGCUGCAUGACCCAGCACGGAUGAGUCAUCGGGUCAUUAAGAGAGGAUGGUCACAGAGUCCGUUUUCUCCAUUUCUGCCCAAAGUGCCUUUCAGGAUGAAUUCCAAUGAUGAGCACAUACAGAGCAUUCACUGUGUACCAGGAAGAUUGUUCAUCUUGCAGCCUGGGCCUGAAACGUUAUUACAAGAUAUUGAAUAUAGUUCCCUGUGCUACACAAAAGAAAUUUGGCUUUUUGUCUAUUUUUAUAUAUGUUUUUGCUUUCUUAAUUGUUUGUGCCAGGAAAAAAAAAGUUAUUAUAAAGCACAUGUACACAGUUAUAAACAGAUCCUGAAAAUGAUCCUUUAGUUGGUAAGCAGCAUGAUGUGCUAAAAAUGCAAGUAAAAAACGGAAGGGAGUUAAAUGACUUUGCGUAAGUUUGAGACUGUGUGCAUCUGUGUGGAUUCAGGAAACAGGAGACACUUGGCCAGGCCAGAAACAGGCAAAGAUGCAGGGUAGAGAGAAAGAAGAGUUGCAGCUAUAUUGGCUGAAUUUUGGUAAAUAAAUGAGAAUGUGCAUAUACUACUAUUAGUACAAAAGAAUCAGUAAAACCACUUCUUUGUUGCUAUGAUGUGGGACCUGUUUUGACGGUCUGUCUGCAGGGUAGGUGCUGGGCCAAAGGGAAGCCAACUACAUCUGCAGUGCGGGUGGAGCUUUCAUUUUGGAGAGGGACAUUUAGAAGUCCUUUUGGUUUCUUUCUUUCUUGAGGUUUAGAAUUACAACUUUUAAAAUUCUUUCUGAUUACUCACCUUUCGGCACUUAGGCUUAAUGCUGCAAAUACUGUACAACUUGUCCUUCUUUUUCACAAAAGUAAAGCUUCUGACAAUUACCCCUGAUGCUACGUGUCUCCGGGACGUUGAUUUUCACUGGUCUGCGUAUUCCAUUGUAUAAAGAUAGCAUAAUUCAUUUAUCCACUCUCCUGUUCCAAGUUUUUACUAAUGUAAACAAUGUUACAAUAAAAUUCUUG
Molecule: non-coding RNA, 1250 nt
Organism: Vicugna pacos (alpaca)
Lineage: Eukaryota; Metazoa; Chordata; Mammalia; Artiodactyla; Camelidae
Source: RefSeq, a predicted model, not a curated record